GACGAACGCUGGCGGCGUGCCUAAUACAUGCAAGUAGAACGCUGAAGCGAGGAGCUUACUCUUCUUGUAUGAGUUGCGGACGGGUGAGUAACGCGUAGGUAACCUGCCUAGUAGCGGGGGAUAACUACUGGAAACGAUAGCUAAUACCGCAUAACAAUGGAUGCCACAUGUCAUUUAAUUGAAAGGGGCAAUUGCUGCACUACAAGAUGGACCUUCGUUUUAUUAGCUAGUAGGGUAGGUAAACGCGCACCUAAGGGACCGUACCUAGCCGGCCUUGGAGGGUGGUCGGCCCAACUGGGACCUGGACCCGGCCCAGACUCCUACGGGAAGCCGCCGUUGGGGAUCUUCGGCCAUGGGGGCAACGCUGACCGAGGAACGCCCCGUUGGUGAAUAAGGUUUUCGGGUCGUAAAGCUCCUUUUUUUGUCAAGAACGGUUGUUAGAGUUGAAAGUGCACACUGUGACGGUAGCUUAUCAGAAAGCGACGGCUAACUACGUG
Molecule: ribosomal RNA, 497 nt
Filed under: uncultured bacterium
Lineage: Bacteria
Description: partial 16S ribosomal RNA
Rfam family: Bacterial small subunit ribosomal RNA
Source: RNAcentral